Molecule: ribosomal RNA, 253 nt
Filed under: uncultured bacterium
Lineage: Bacteria
Description: partial 16S ribosomal RNA
Rfam family: Bacterial small subunit ribosomal RNA
Source: RNAcentral
UACGUAGGGUGCAAGCGUUGUCCGGAAUUAUUGGGCGUAAAGAGCUCGUAGGCGGCUUGUCGCGUCGACUGUGAAAUCCCGCGGCUCAACUGCGGGUCUGCAGUCGAUACGGGCAGGCUAGAGUUCGGUAGGGGAGACUGGAAUUCCUGGUGUAGCGGUGAAAUGCGCAGAUAUCAGGAGGAACACCGGUGGCGAAGGCGGUUCUCUGGGCAUUACCUGACGCUGAGGAGCGAAAGCCAGGGGAGCAAACGGG